Molecule: ribosomal RNA, 305 nt
Filed under: uncultured bacterium
Lineage: Bacteria
Description: partial 16S ribosomal RNA
Rfam family: Bacterial small subunit ribosomal RNA
Source: RNAcentral
ACAGCAGUCGCCACGGUAAUACGGAGGGUGCAAGCGUUAUCCGGAUUUAUUGGGUUUAAAGGGUCCGUAGGCGGAUCUGUAAGUCAGUGGUGAAAUCUCACAGCUUAACUGUGAAACUGCCAUUGAUACUGCAGGUCUUGAGUAAAUUUGAAGUGGCUGGAAUAAGUAGUGUAGCGGUGAAAUGCAUAGAUAUUACUUAGAACACCAAUUGCGAAGGCAGGUCACUAAGAUUUAACUGACGCUGAUGGACGAAAGCGUGGGGAGCAAAUGGGAUUAGAUACCCCCGUAGUCCCUGUCUCUUAUAC